RNAcentral lists this ribosomal RNA (393 nucleotides) under Parapachymorpha spiniger. RNAcentral describes it as "partial 12S ribosomal RNA". The record is from RNAcentral. Lineage: Eukaryota; Metazoa; Arthropoda; Insecta; Phasmatodea; Phasmatidae.
UAAACUAGGAUUAGAUACCCUAUUAWUUUGAAUGUAAAAAAAAUUACCAGGGUAGUAAUAGUUAUGUUCUUAAAACCCAAAGAAUUUGGCGGUGUUUUAGUCUAUUCAGAGGAAUUUGCCCUAUAAUCGAUAAUCCUCGUUAUAUCUUACUUUUAAUAGUAUUUCAAUUUGUAUACCGCCGUUAUAAGUUUAUUUUAUUAGGAAUUAUUAAUUUACUUUAAAUAUAAUUUUGUAUUAUUUCAGGUCAAGGUGCAGUUAAUAUAAAAGUGGAGGUGAAUUACAAUAUAAUUCGUGUAUACGGAUAUAUAAUUUAAAAUUAUAUUAAAGGUGGAUUUGAUAGUAAGUAUUUUUAUAAUUAAUUUUUGAUUUUAGCUCUAAAACAAGUACACAUCG